UAGGGAAUCUUCCGCAAUGGGCGAAAGCCUGACGGAGCAACGCCGCGUGAGUGAUGAAGGUCUUCGGAUCGUAAAACUCUGUUAUUAGGGAAGAACAAAUGUGUAAGUAACUAUGCACGUCUUGACGGUACCUAAUCAGAAAGCCACGGCUAACUACGUGCCAGCAGCCGCGGUAAUACGCAGGUGGCAAGCGUUAUCCGGAAUUAUUGGGCGUAAAGUGCGCGUAGGUGGUUAUUUAAGUCUGUUGUGAAAGCCCACGGCUCAACCGUUGAGGGUCAUUGUAAACUGGAAAACUUGAGUGCAGAAGAGGAAAGUGGAAUUCCAUAUGUAGCAGUGAUAUGCGCAGAGAUAUGGAUGAGCACCAGUUGCGAAGAAGACUUUAUUGUCUGUAACUGACGCUGAUGUGUGAAAGCGUGGGGAUCUAACAGG
Molecule: ribosomal RNA, 429 nt
Filed under: Actinomycetes bacterium
Lineage: Bacteria; Bacillati; Actinomycetota; Actinomycetes
Description: Actinobacteria bacterium partial 16S ribosomal RNA
Rfam family: Bacterial small subunit ribosomal RNA
Source: RNAcentral